RNAcentral lists this ribosomal RNA (519 nucleotides) under Thorius boreas (boreal thorius). RNAcentral describes it as "LSU rRNA". It matches the Rfam family "Bacterial large subunit ribosomal RNA", at positions 1816 to 2597 of the family's 2925-position model. Lineage: Eukaryota; Metazoa; Chordata; Amphibia; Caudata; Plethodontidae. The record is from RNAcentral.
CGCCUUUUGAUUUAUUAACAUAAAAGGUCCUGCCUGCCCAGUGACACCUGUUUAACGGCCGCGGUAUUAUGACCGUGCAAAGGUAGCGUAAUCACUUGUCCUUUAAAUAAAGACCAGUAUGAAUGGCAAGACGAAAGCCUAACUGUCUCUCCAUAUUAGUCAAUGAAAUUGAUUUUUCCGUGCAGAAGCGGAAAUAUUAUUAUAAGACGAGAAGACCCUGUGGAGCUUCAAGUCAAAGCUAGCUAUUUAAUAUAGUUGUAGCCAAAGACUUUAGGUUGGGGCGACCACGAGGUAUAAUAAAACCCUCGAGAUAAAAUCAUAGAAGGACACUUCAAAUAAACAAAAUAUUGAUAUAUUGACCCAAAAAUUGAUCAACGAACCAAGUUACCCCAGGGAUAACAGCGCAAUCCACUCAAAGAGUCCUUAUCGACGAGUGGGUUUACGACCUCGAUGUUGGAUCAGGACCCCCAAAUAAUGUAACAAUUAUUAAAGGUUCGUUUGUUCAACGAUUAAAGUCCU